CGUCGUCUUCCAAGAAGAAGGUCAAGUACAUGAAGGAGACGUCCACGUCUACGUUGCCCCCAUACUUCCGGUGCUCCUCCACCGUGUCUUUCCCCCCGGAAAAUGCAUACUUGUUGAUCUGUGAGCAUUCGUCAUCCAAAAGGUUGAGGAAGAAAAAUCGGUCCCAAUGACAGCUUGCAUCUCGAAAAACGAGAAGCUAAUUUGAUCUCACCAAUCAGUUUGUCAUAAUCGACGCCUUUCGCGUUGUUGGUGGAGACACUCCAGGGGUUAACUUCAUCAUCACCCUCAUCAUUGUUGCCAUCUGCUGCCAGACCGUUUUCUGAG
This is a long non-coding RNA of Hippocampus zosterae (dwarf seahorse), 324 nucleotides long. RefSeq lists it as uncharacterized. The transcript is spliced from 3 exons. The record is from RefSeq and is a predicted model, not a curated record. NCBI's taxonomy places the organism in Eukaryota, Metazoa, Chordata, Actinopteri, Syngnathiformes, Syngnathidae.